RNAcentral lists this transfer RNA (77 nucleotides) under candidate division CPR1 bacterium ADurb.Bin160. RNAcentral describes it as "tRNA-Ala". It matches the Rfam family "tRNA". From Rfam's summary of the family: Transfer RNA (tRNA) molecules are approximately 80 nucleotides in length. The record is from RNAcentral. Lineage: Bacteria; candidate division CPR1.
UGGGCCCUUAGCUCACCUGGCUUAGAGCGCCUGUUUUGCACGCAGGAGGUAAUCGGUUCGACUCCGAUAGGGUCCAA